AGUAAUAAAUCGAUUCUACCUAAGACGCAGGUGUCGUAAGACUUAAUAACCCGCCGAGGAAGUGAAAAACGCGUAAGCGACUUUUGACCCCCGGUGCAGUAUGUGCUGGGGGUCUUUUGGUACGAAU
Weissella confusa LBAE C39-2 is the source of this 127-nucleotide non-coding RNA. Lineage: Bacteria; Bacillati; Bacillota; Bacilli; Lactobacillales; Lactobacillaceae. The record is from Rfam.